RNAcentral lists this ribosomal RNA (2328 nucleotides) under Rhodococcus (subgen. Prescottella) equi. RNAcentral's name for it is "Rhodococcus hoagii 23S ribosomal RNA". It matches the Rfam family "Bacterial large subunit ribosomal RNA". The record is from RNAcentral. Lineage: Bacteria; Bacillati; Actinomycetota; Actinomycetes; Mycobacteriales; Nocardiaceae.
ACAGUGGACGCGAGCAUCUUUGUUGUAAGUGUUUAAGAGCGUACGGUGGAUGCCUUGGCACCAGGAGCCGAUGAAGGACGUAGGAGGCUGCGAUAAGCCUCGGGGAGCUGUCAACCGAGCUGAGAUCCGAGGAUGUCCGAAUGGGGAAACCCAGCCACAGUGAUGUGUGGUUACCCGCGCCUGAAUAUAUAGGGCGUGUGGAGGGAACGUGGGGAAGUGAAACAUCUCAGUACCCACAGGAAGAGAAAACAACAUGUGAUUCCGUGAGUAGUGGCGAGCGAAAGCGGAAGAGGCUAAACCAUGGGUGUGUGAUAGCCGGCGGGCGUUGCAUUCGUGGGGUUGUGGGAUCCGUCUUGUCAAUUCUGCCGGAUUGGCCGACAGUGAGAAAUCAUCGUGUUAGUCGAAGUGGUCUGGAACGGCCUGUCGUAGAGGGUGAGAGUCCCGUAGACGAAAACAUGGUGACUGUCGUGACGGACACCCGAGUAGCAGCGGGCCCGUGAAAUCUGCUGUGAAUCUGUCGGGACCACCCGAUAAGCCUGAAUACUCCCUGGUGACCGAUAGCGGACUAGUACCGUGAGGGAAAGGUGAAAAGUACCCGGGAGGGGAGUGAAAUAGUACCUGAAACCGUGCGCUUACAAUCCGUCAGAGCCUGCGCCACUUUUGGUGGGUGGGUGAUGGCGUGCCUUUUGAAGAAUGAGCCUGCGAGUUAGCGGCAUGUCGCGAGGUUAACCCGUGUGGGGUAGCCGUAGCGAAAGCGAGUCCGAAUAGGGCGUUUGUAGUGGCAUGUUCUAGACCCGAAGCGGAGUGAUCUACCCAUGGCCAGGGUGAAGCGACGGUAAGACGUCGUGGAGGCCCGAACCCACUUAGGUUGAAAACUGAGGGGAUGAGCUGUGGGUAGGGGUGAAAGGCCAAUCAAACUCCGUGAUAGCUGGUUCUCCCCGAAAUGCAUUUAGGUGCAGCGUCGCGUGUUUCACUCUGGAGGUAGAGCUACUGGAUGGCCGAUGGGCCCCACAAGGUUACUGACGUCAGCCAAACUCCGAAUGCCAGAGUGUGAGAGCGCGGCAGUGAGACUGCGGGGGAUAAGCUUCGUAGUCGAGAGGGAAACAGCCCAGAUCGCCGGCUAAGGCCCCUAAGCGUGUACUAAGUGGAAAAGGAUGUGGGGUCGCGAAGACAACCAGGAGGUUGGCUUAGAAGCAGCCACCCUUGAAAGAGUGCGUAAUAGCUCACUGGUCAAGUGAUCCUGCGCCGACAAUGUAGCGGGGCUCAAGUACACCGCCGAGCCAGUAAUGGCGAAGCUGCGGGUCUACGGGCCUGUGUGCAGUGGUGGUAUGGGUAACCAUCGUGCAAGGUAGCGCCGGAUGAUCCAGGUGUGGGGCUGCAAGUUCCGACCUGCACGAAUGGCGUAACGACUUCUCUGCUGUCUCAACCACAGACUCGGCGAAAUUGCAUUACGAGUAAAGAUGCUCGUUACGCGCGGCAGGACGAAAAGACCCCGGGACCUUCACUAUAGCUUGGUAUUGGUGUUCGGUUCGGUUUGUGUAGGAUAGGUGGGAGACUGUGAAGCGGGCACGCCAGUGUUCGUGGAGUCGUUGUUGAAAUACCACUCUGAUCGUAUUGGACAUCUAACCUCGGACCAUGAUCUGGUUCAGGGACAGUGCCUGGUGGGUAGUUUAACUGGGGCGGUUGCCUCCCAAAAUGUAACGGAGGCGCCCAAAGGUUCCCUCAGCCUGGUUGGCAAUCAGGUGUCGAGUGCAAGUGCACAAGGGAGCUUGACUGUGAGACUGACAGGUCGAGCAGGGACGAAAGUCGGGACUAGUGAUCCGGCACCGGCAAGUGGAAGCGGUGUCGCUCAACGGAUAAAAGGUACCCCGGGGAUAACAGGCUGAUCUUCCCCAAGAGUCCAUAUCGACGGGAUGGUUUGGCACCUCGAUGUCGGCUCGUCGCAUCCUGGGGCUGGAGUAGGUCCCAAGGGUUGGGCUGUUCGCCCAUUAAAGCGGCACGCGAGCUGGGUUUAGAACGUCGUGAGACAGUUCGGUCUCUAUCCGCCGCGCGCGUUAGAAACUUGAGGAAGGCUGUCCCUAGUACGAGAGGACCGGGACGGACGAACCUCUGGUGUGCCAGUUGUUCCGCCAGGAGCACUGCUGGUUAGCUACGUUCGGAAGGGAUAACCGCUGAAAGCAUCUAAGCGGGAAGCCUGUUCCAAGAUGAGGUUUCUCACCCCCUCGAGGGGGUAAGGCCCCCGGCAGACCACCGGGUUGAUAGGCCAGAACUGGAAGCACAGUAAUGUGUGGAGGUGACUGGUACUAAUAGGCCGAGGACUUACCACAA